AUAGGUAUAGCUAAGCUGGUUGAAAGCGACAUUUUGCUAAAAUGUUAAAUACGUUAUCGUAUUUCACGUGUUCAAAUCACGUUGCCUAAU
RNAcentral lists this transfer RNA (90 nucleotides) under Chrysochromulina sp. NIES-1333. RNAcentral describes it as "tRNA-Ser". It matches the Rfam family "tRNA". Rfam says of the family: Transfer RNA (tRNA) molecules are approximately 80 nucleotides in length. Their secondary structure includes four short double-helical elements and three loops (D, anti-codon, and T loops). Lineage: Eukaryota; Haptophyta; Prymnesiales; Chrysochromulinaceae. The record is from RNAcentral.